RNAcentral lists this long non-coding RNA (736 nucleotides) under Athene cunicularia (burrowing owl). RNAcentral's name for it is "lncRNA (ENSACUG00000000357.1)". Lineage: Eukaryota; Metazoa; Chordata; Aves; Strigiformes; Strigidae. The record is from RNAcentral.
AAGAGUUCUUAACUUCUGCAAAGUUACUACCAAAAUCUUAACCUUUGAAUACUUUUCUAUCUUCCAUUUUCUUAGGAGAACAGCUCUUUCAUUAUAAGCAGCAAAAUUCCCAAGAAGAAAAAAUCAAAGCCAGAAACAAAACGUGCAAAAUCAACUGAAGUGAUUGAAACGGAGAACAGCUCUUCCAUUAUAAGCAGCAAAAUUCCCAAGAAGAAAAAAUCUAAGCCAGAAAUGAAACAUGCAACAUCAACUGAAGUGAUUGAAAUGGAGAACAGCUCUUCCAUUAUAAGCAGCAAAAUUCCCAAGAAGAAGAAGUCAAAGCCAGAAGUGAAACAUGCAAAAUCAACUGAAGUUAUUGAAAUAGAGGAGGAGGAAGACUGCUGCUGAGAACUCUGGGCUUCUGCAAGGUUCACCUUGGUGAACAAAAAACUUAGAAAUGAGGUGGCACUGGUCACUCAUCAGACACCUUUGUCACCUACUUGGUUUAAACCGUUGGUCUGAAGUCAGUGUUGAGCUAUCAACUGACCAACCUAGUCAGAUUGUGUUUAAGUUUAUGUUGCUUUUGGAAGAUGAAACACUGCUUAGUUCUCUUGAUGUGCAAGACUCUGCAGAUGAACACACCACCUCUGCAGCAGUGAGCAGUUGUAACUUUUAUGGUGUGAUUGAAUUCUUGCAGCUGUUUGCCCUUGUGAUGUGCAAGAUCUCUUACUUCGGUGGACUUCUGUGGAACAUGUGA